Molecule: ribosomal RNA, 506 nt
Filed under: uncultured bacterium
Lineage: Bacteria
Description: partial 16S ribosomal RNA
Rfam family: Bacterial small subunit ribosomal RNA
Source: RNAcentral
GACGAACGCUGGCGGCAGGCCUAACACAUGCAAGUCGAACGGUAACAGGAAGCAGCUUGCUGCUUCGCUGACGAGUGGCGGACGGGUGAGUAAUGUCUGGGAAACUGCCUGAUGGAGGGGGAUAACUACUGGAAACGGUAGCUAAUACCGCAUAACGUCGCAAGACCAAAGAGGGGGACCUUCGGGCCUCUUGCCAUCGGAUGUGCCCAGAUGGGAUUAGCUAGUAGGUGGGGUAACGGCUCACCUAGGCGACGAUCCCUAGCUGGUCUGAGAGGAUGACCAGCCACACUGGAACUGAGACACGGUCCAGACUCCUACGGGAGGCAGCAGUGGGGAAUAUUGCACAAUGGGCGCAAGCCUGAUGCAGCCAUGCCGCGUGUAUGAAGAAGGCCUUCGGGUUGUAAAGUACUUUCAGCGGGGAGGAAGGCGAUAAGGUUAAUAACCUUGUCGAUUGACGUUACCCGCAGAAGAAGCACCGGCUAACUCCGUGCCGGCCGCCGCGGUAA